RNAcentral lists this long non-coding RNA (1990 nucleotides) under Medicago truncatula (barrel medic). RNAcentral's name for it is "long non-coding RNA (MTRU_LNC004457)". The record is from RNAcentral. Lineage: Eukaryota; Viridiplantae; Streptophyta; Magnoliopsida; Fabales; Fabaceae.
ACUUGAAAAACUCUCGAGCAUAAAACAAUUUGAAAGGUCAAGUUCUUGUAGCAAAUCCAACUUAAGAGGUGGAAUACUUCUGAGAUUGUGACAAUUUUUAACAAGCAUGGUUUUAAGUUUUCCAAGAAACCCGUCAACCACAAGUGGAAAAUUCUCAAGACUAAAACAACAUGAAAGAUCAAGUGUUUCUAGUGAAUCCAACUUGAGAGGUGGAAUACUCCUGAGACUGAAACAGUUUGUAACAAGCAUGGUUUUAAGUUUUCCAAGAUACUCGUCCACCACAAGUGGAAAACUCUCAAGACUAUGACAAUCUGAAAGUUCUAGUGUUUCCAGUGAAUCCAACUUAAGAGGUGGAAUACUUCUGAGAUUGCGACAACAUUUAACAUUCAGGGUUUUAAGUUUUGCAAGAAAUGUGUCCACCACAAGUGGAAAACUCUCAAGAGUAUCACAACAUGAAAGUUCUAGUGUUUCUAGUGAAUCCAACUUGAGAGGUGGAAUACUCUUGAGACUGUGACAAUUUUUAACAAGCAUGGUUUUAAGUUUUCCAAGAUACUCGUCCACCACAAGUGGAAAACUCUCAAGACUAUGACAAUUCGAAAAUUCUAGUGUUUCUAGUGAAUCCAACUUGAGAGGUGGUAUAAUUCUGAGAUUGCGACAACUCUUAACUUUCAAGGUUUUAAGCUUUGCAAGAAAUAUGUCCACCACAAGUGGAAAACUCUCAAGAGUAUCACAACCUGAAAGUUCUAGUGUUUCUAGUGAAUCCAACUUGAGAGGUGGAAUACUUUUGAGAUUGUGACAAUUUUUAACAAGCAUGGUUUUAAGUUUUCCAAGAUACUCGUCCACCACAAGUGGAAAACUCUCAAGACUAUGACAAUCUGAAAGUUCUAGUGUUUCUAGUGAAUCCAACUUGAGAGGUGGAAAACUUCUGAGACUGCGACAGCUUGUAACAAUCAUGGUUUUAAGUUUUCGAAGAUACUCUUCCACCACAAGUGGAAAACUCUCAAGACUAUGACAAAAUGAAAGUUUUAGUGUUUCUAGUGAAUCCAACUUGAGAGGUGUAAUACUCAUGAGACUGCGACAGUUUGUAACAAGCAUGGUUUUAAGUUUUCCAAGAUACUCGUCCACCACAAGUGGAAAACUCUCAAGACAAUGACAAUCUGAAAGUUUUAGUGUUUCCAGGGAAUCCAACUUGAGAGGUGGAAUACUUCUGAGAUUGCGACAACAUUUAACAUUCAGGGUUUUAAGUUUUGCAAGAAAUGUGUCCACCACAAGUGGAAAACUCUCAAGAGUAUCACAACAUGAAAGUUCUAGUGUUUCUAGUGAAUCCAACUUGAGAGGUGGAAUACUCUUGAGAUUGUGACAAUUUUUAACAAGCAUGGUUUUAAGUUUUCCAAGAUACUCGUCCGCCACAAGUGGAAAACUCUCAAGACUAUGACAAUCUGAAAGUUCUAGUGUUUCUAGUGAAUCCAACUUGAGAGGUGGAAUACUCUUGAGAUUGUGACAAUUUUUAACAAGCAUGGUUUUAAGUUUUCCAAGAUACUCGUCCGCCACAAGUGGAAAACUCUCAAGACUAUGACAAUUUGAAAGUUCUAGUGUUUCUAGUGAAUCCAACUUGAGAGGCGGAAAACUCCUGAGACUGCGACAGCUUGUAACAAUCAUGGUUUUAAGUUUUCGAAGAUACUCUUCCACCACAAGUGGAAAACUCUCAAGACUAUGACAAAAUGAAAGUUUUAGUGUUUCUAGUGAAUCCAACUUGAGAGGUGGAAAACUUCUGAGACUGCGACAGCUUGUAACAAUCAUGGUUUUAAGUUUUCGAAGAUACUCUUCCACCACAAGUGGAAAACUCUCAAGACUAUGACAAAAUGAAAGUUUUAGUGUUUCUAGUGAAUCCAACUUGAGAGGUGGAAUACUCCUUAGCUUGAUGCAAUGUCUAACACUCAUUAUUUUAAGCUUAUCACCAAAGUCAUCUAUCACAGGUGAAAAAUUCUCA